GCCAGGGAACUACGAGCUAAGCUUAAAACCCAAAGGACUUGACGGUGCCCAUACCCCACUAGAGGAGCCUGUCCUAUAAUCGAUAAUCCCCGUUUUACCUCACCACUCCUAGCCCAUCAGCCUGUAUAUUUCCGUCGAAAGCUAACCACAUGAGUGAAACCCAGUUGGCCCAAAGAUUUUUCCACCAUAUUCACGUCAGGUCAAAAUGCAGCAAAUGAAGUGGAAAGAGAUUGGCUACACUUUUUAGUAUAAAAGAAACGAAAGACAGUAAUGAAACUUUGUCGGAAGGUGGAUUUAGCAGUAAAAAGAAUUCAUAAUAUUCAUUUGAAUUUGGCACUGGAGCGUGU
RNAcentral lists this ribosomal RNA (347 nucleotides) under Eleutherodactylus brittoni. Its description in RNAcentral is "partial 12S ribosomal RNA". It matches the Rfam family "Bacterial small subunit ribosomal RNA", at positions 871 to 1384 of the family's 1533-position model. The record is from RNAcentral. Lineage: Eukaryota; Metazoa; Chordata; Amphibia; Anura; Eleutherodactylidae.